UGGAGGGAUAGGAAGCAGAUCCUGUACGUACUCGCUGUGUGGACAGCAUGUAAGCAUUACUGGAGGAAAGCCAGUGAGGAUGUACGACCCAGACUGAGCAAGGCUGUAGGGGAGUGUCACAGACAAUAAUGGAAACCUAUCAGCUAUACUCCUCAUUCCAAGAGCAAAGACAUCCAUGAAAAAUCGAAGAACCCUAAAAGAAUGAAUGACAGAAAUGGUAGAACACAAAUCCCCCUUUCCCCCUCCCACGCACAAGCAGCAACAGAGCAUCAACCUCCCCCUAUUCCAGCAAAAAGCAUCAGCACCCACCACCAACCAAGCACCAGCAAAGCCCCCAAAGAGAGACCAUGAUCUGCAGUCAACAAAACUAUUGCUUGCCAGACAGUUUGGCAUGCCACAUACUCUCUCUCGCAUUAACAAGGGGCAGAGAGAUGUCACCCAUUUCACAGCAAAAGGGGAGACAAACAGUCGCUGAUACAGUCGUACAGUCUGCUGUGUCACUUCUUAUUCUGAGAUUCUUCAACUCGGGAAUCUGCAGCAAACUCUCCCUACCAUUGAAAGAAUGCGAGAGAGAGAAAGAAGUAGCUCAACUACAGAGACCUCCAUCUACAGUAUCUGCUGCCGCUAAAUCCUGAUGUUCCUUCUCCCAUGAUGCCUCAGUUGGUGGCACUGGCCUGGAAUCUGUCAUCUACCGAGCCAUGCAGAUGCACACCCUGGCAUCUUCCAUGCCAUGCCUGGAGAAUGUCAGAAAAUGGCCAGUGGGUCGGUGAGCUCCAAGAACGGGAACUCAUUGCUGUGAAAAAUCCAGUGUUUGAUUAUCAUAGUAGAACAACGAACACAGUAGAACAAGGAAAUAUAAUAGAAUUAAUGAAAAACUAGACCACAAAGAGUAAAAAGCAACCAAUUAUGCAAAAGAAAACUUUGAUCAGUUCACCCCUCAGCCUCCUACAAUCCAUUGAAGAAAGUCCCAGCCUAACCAGCCUCUGUCUAUAACUCAAGAGUUUUAGUCCUUGUAGCAUAAUUCUCUUUUUGCACGUAUUUCACUCUGACCCAAUUUCUGUUAUUUCUGACUUUUCUAAAAUCAUUCAUUCAUUUUGCCCUGUAAUUGCUUCAGAUUAUGAGGUGUGGCGAAACAGAGAGGACAAUAGAGCUCUCUAACUUCCCACAUCAUGCAAGAGGAGCACCCUGAGUUCCAUUCACACUGCUCUACCUAUGCAGUUGUUGUUGUUCGUCCUUUGGAGUCGAAGACGACCACGACUUCUGUCAGGAGGAGGGUUUGUGACUGUGGGUCCGGAGGUGACUGGUGAGGCCAAUCCGGGCCCUGAAAGCUCGCCCACAUGUGGGACACGUGAGGGUAGGUGUUGCAGUGGAAGUGGAGGUAGAUGGAGCCUUGCACGCGGCACUUUUCCUCUGAGCCUCUGUGGUGCGUCUGAUUUCUGCUGCAUACGCUCCUUUAGUGGUCCUGCUCCACCAGGUUGGGCAGUCCAGAGCAAGUGAAUCCCAGCUACUGGGAUUGAUGUUGAGGUCUUUAAGGGACACUUUGAGGCAGUCUUUGAAACAUUUCUUCUGCCCUCCAACUGAGUGCUUGCCCUGGCUCAGCUCUCCAUACAGCAGCUGUUUUGGUACUCGACUGUCAGACAUCCUGAUGACAUGGCCAGUCCAUCUGGCUUGGGCUUUCUGUAGGAGGGUGUAGACGCUGUGGGUGCUAGCCCGCUCCAGGACUUCCGUGUCUGGGACUUUGUCCUGCCAUCGUACGUGGAGAAGUCUGCAGAGGCAGCUCAAGUGGAAGUGGUUGAGCUGUUUAGCGUGCCUGCUGUAGUCAGUCCAGGAGACUCCGUGAGAAUGUAUGGGAGCAGAGAGGACUCAGCCUUACCACCAAGCUGAAGGUCUACCGAGCAGUGGUUCACAUCACCCUCCUCUAUGCCAGCGAGACCUGGA
Long non-coding RNA from Hypanus sabinus (Atlantic stingray), 1938 nucleotides. RefSeq lists it as uncharacterized. The transcript is spliced from 3 exons. The record is from RefSeq and is a predicted model, not a curated record. NCBI's taxonomy places the organism in Eukaryota, Metazoa, Chordata, Chondrichthyes, Myliobatiformes, Dasyatidae.